UUUUAGCCCAUAUUAGUUCACACUGCAGUCGACACCAACCAUUCAAACUUCAAUGUAUCUCCCCGUGACCCCUAUAUAAAUAACUCUCCAAGUUUAUCAUUCCAACACCCACCCCUCCCAACUCCCAUACAUCUCUCUCUCUCUCUCCUCCUAGCUCACACACCAACUCUACGUAUUUGCAACAAAACAAAAUUCUACAAUAUAUAUAGUUAUAUACAAUAAUGUCCAAAUUCACAACUCUUCUUAUAAUAACUAUGCUAGUUUGCUUCGCAAGUACUGAGACUUGUGCAGCUCGUUCUAUACCAGCUUUUCAUCAUGAGGAUAUUGAUUUUGAGAAUUUGAAGGUCGAUGAUAAUGAGAGUUGUCAAGGAGUAAAUGAAGAGGAGUGUUUGAUGAGGAGGACACUUGUGGCUCAUACUGAUUAUAUCUAUACUCAACAUCAAAAUCCUUAAAAUUAUAAUUAGUUUUGCUUAUUACUACUAUAUGAGUUUAGCCUUAUCUUAUAUAAGUAUAAAGGAUGCUCUGUAAAUUUGAUUUAGUAGUAGAAUAUGAUUUUAAAUUUUGCAAAGGUUUUCUUUGGCCUAAUAGUACAUGAUUUUUAUUAGUCGUGUGUGGUAUGUAAGAUUUUAAUCUGAUCGAUCAAUUAAUAUCUUGGUGUGACCUUAUUUAAUAGCCUCAUAAUAUAUAUAUAUAUAUAUAUAUAUAUAUAUAUAUAUAUAUAUAUGUGCCCACAAAAUUAAUGAUUUUCAUGACCUAUAUGUUGAUUGUUGAACAUUUUGUGUAUAUAUUUGACCAAUUUUUUGUCCUCUUAACAAUAAAAGUCAUUUUUCUUUUAAUUUAUAUGAGCCACGAAAGCAGUACAAAGUAUAAAGAAGAGGAUGGGGGAUUCGAACCUGUAACCUAUCAUUCGCAACACCUUAAUCUUAACUAUUAGGUCAAGACAUCCUUAAUUGAUAUAUACAAUAAAAGUUAAUUUUGAUAAACGAGAUAUGUAUACAAAAAGAUGGUUCAUAUCAAUAUACAUAUCACUCUGUAAUCUUUAUUAUAAAUUGAAAGUCAAUUAAAAUUCAUGCACUCUCACAAAUAGAAUUCAAAUCUUUUGUUCCACAUUUUAUGUACCAUUUGGAUACUAUCCAUUUUCAUUGGUUGAUUAUAAUGUGUUUUAGAUUAUAGGCCUUUCUAAUAUAACCAACCAAUAGUAAAGUGGCAAAUAAAUAGUGCUCAAAAGAUUUUACUAUUAGUAGGUAGUUUAGCUAUUAAAAAUGGGUAAUUAUAAUAAUAGAUUUAGUGUUAAUUUGAAUUCUACUUAGUUUUAGUGUCUUUUUUCGAAUUCUUAUGAGUAAAAUAAUCUUUUUAAUUGAUUUGUUUAUUAGUGUGUAUUUAGUUAAUUUCACACUUCUUUAAAAAAAAAAAGUUAAUUUCGCAUCUCGAACGACCUGGCACAUGAUAUUACAACAUUAGAAAUGCAAGAAAGCACUGGCUAAACAUUGUAAUCAUCCAUAUAACUAUAUAAGGGGAGAAGCUCAUCAUAGUUAACUGCUGAUUCUUUGGCUAAACAAGACCUUCAUCGAAAUUCAGAAUUUCUCGCUUGAGUGCAGGCUUCUUCCAAAAGUCUAGAUCAUUUUUCCAUGCAUCUCAUAGAAAUGCAAUUCCUCUAGCAUGACUUUUGGUGUAACGGCCAUCAUUUUGGUCUGUUUCCUCGUGUCUUGAGAAAGUGAAACAACAUGUACUUUUGACUUUUAAUAGUCACAGAAACUGAAAACUGAAAAUCUCCUAAGAUUAUCAACAAAAUAAAAUGACAUAAUGGAAAGAUACCAUAUGAAGAAACAAUAGAGUCGAUUAAGCCACCAACACAUAUUUAGAUCAACUGGUAAGGGAGUUGUUCUAGCUUAACUAGAGGUCUCGGGUUCGAGCCUUGGAAACGCAACAGAGUGUGUUGGGAGAGCUUUCCCCCCAAUUGGGGUCUGACCCGGCUCGAAUCCGGAUUAGUCGGGAUCUAAAAAUAAAUUUCGAAAACCGGAUAUGUUCAAAUAAAAAAAAAGUUCAAUCAAGCCUCCAGAGAGAGUGGUAAAAGAACAAUAUGAGGUAAUCUAUUAUCUAUAUGGCAAAUACCCUUGAUGAACUCUCCUACCCUAAUUAAUGGUCCAACUAAACUUAUCUUCUAACAAAAGGUGUGUGUAUAAUGGUCCUUCAAGAAUGACUGCAUCUCUUUGAUUUAAAUCAUUAAAUGCCUUGUUUUGAAGGUUGCGAGCAUGGGCCAAACUUGACAAAUGACAAUAGCUUUCCACAACGCAUGGAACAGGACCAGUCUGGGGAGCUUUUAUUACACGUACAAUUCGUAGCUUAGGUAACAAACUUGGUUAGAAGAAAAUCUCUUCGACAGUUGUGCAGUUGAAAGAUUUUCCAAGAACAACUAUCAUUCUUAUUUACACAACGUAUAUGUUACGAGUUCACUCAUAGUACACCCGGGUGUACCAUGAGCAUGAUACAUCCAGAGUGACAUUCGGGUCAUCAUCGUCAAGUCGUCAGUCGUGGUGGUUCCAAUUUUUUUUCAGGUAGUCUUCAUUCUUUUUCAGGUAGUCUUCAUUUUUUUCAGGUAGUCUUCAUUUUGUUUCAGUUAGUCUUUUUUUUUCAGUUAGUCUUCUUUUUUUUCAGUUGGUUUUUGUGCUUCAGUUAGACUUACAUGGGUUUCAGUUGGUCUUUAUUCUUUUUCAGGUAGUCUUCAUUUUUUUUCAGGUAGUCUUCAUUUUGUUUCAGUUAGUCUUUUUUUUUUCAGUUAGUCUUUUUUUUUUUCAGUUAGUUUUUGUGCUUCAGUUAGACUUACUUGGGUUUCAGUUGGUCUUUAUUCUUUUUCAGGUAGUCUUCAUUUUUCUUCAGGUAGUCUUCAUUUUGUUUCAGUUAGUCCAACUGAAAGUAAACAAAGUCCAACUGAAAGAAAACAAAGUCCAACUGAAAGAACACAAAGUCCAACUGAAAGAAAACAAAGUCCAACUGAAACAAAACAAAGUCCAACUGAAAAACAAAACACUAACCUCCGCUUUCUCUCACUUUCUCCUUCUUCUUCAUUCCUCUUAGCUAGUUUUUGAUUCUGGUUGUAGUGAGGAUUGCAAAACAGAUGUUGAAUAUUCUUCUAGUGAGGAUUGCAAAACAAAUGUUGAAUACGAAUAUCGAAACCUCCAUGGCUUCCCUGUCCAAUCUUCAAAAUUAAGAAGCAAACCUUUCUCAUUAUUACUCGAAUCCAAAGGAAAAUACUUCUCCGCAUGCUGCUUUGGUAUUACCAAUUGAUUCAACUUCCCUACGUCACUUGGUGUCACCACUUUAUCAAACAUAUGCUCUCUUUCUAUUACAAUUUUAUCGUCCUCUUCAUCAUCCACAUGAACUUUCAUUUUUGUCGCCGUCGUCGUUGUCGCCGAUGAAUGAUUGAACAAAUCCUUGAAGAUUGAUUAUGGCAGAUUUAAAGGAUUAUAUGAAAAUCCAGAGAAGAAGAAGAAAGAGGAGAGAGAAUGUGACCUAAAAAGUGAAGUAGAGAGAAGAUGUAUUGGGCUCAGCCCGUCUGACAGUAAACAAUACGUCAGACGGUCUGACCCAAUACUUUCACAUAAAUAAAACACCAUAAUCUAAGUAAAGAUCCCCUUCCUAGUAUGGUCCCAUGCACAUCCAAAAUUCACCUGGAAAAGUGCUUACCAAAAUGGUAAAUAUGGCAAAGCCAAAUAAGAAAAAAGAAAUACGUGUCAGUAUAAAACUGAGUAAGAAAUAUAUUAGAUAAGUAACACAUUUGUUAGUUCACAACAUUUUUCAUUUUGAAAACUCCAUCACUAAUAAUUCAAGAAUAAACUAUUUUAUAUUAUUUUCAAGAAUAAACUAUUUUCAAACACUUUAAGAAUAAACUAUUCAAGAAUAAACUCUUUAAGAAUAAACUAUUUUCAAACACUUUAACUAGAAUUCAAGAAUAACCUUUUAAGAACAAACUCUUUCCAAACACUUGAAUAAUAGUUCAAGAAUGACCUUUUAAGAACAAACUCUUUCCAAAUAACUUGGAUUAAAAAUAAUCUUGAAAACAAUUCCUCUUCUUAUCUCCCCUUCUAUUUUGUUAAGUGUGCAUACACUCCAAGAGUCCAAGGUGUCAUCCCAUCACAAAUCUAUAUCAAGGGGUAACCAUAAUGCCAACAAGUAGACUUUGAAGCAUGUACCCUUCUUGAUGUUAAUCAAGUGGUAAUAAUAAUAUGACUUGUAAGUCAUCAUGAAUAAAUCUCCUUUUCUCAUAAACAACUUUUUGAGCAUUCAAAAUUCAUAAAACCAAUCAAACAUUACCAAAGGGAGCUAGCAGUAAAGAAGAUGAACAAAAUACACAAGGAUUUACGUGGUAGUCCAAAGGUGGAGGAUUCAGGAGCUUUUCAGUAAUCUUCAAUGGAGAAACUUAGAGGAUUACAAGGAGUCUUACAAAGGUUUAGAGGUUUUAACCACCCAAUAAUAGGGUCCUUUUAUAGGACAUUCAGAACCCUAAUGACCCCAAGAACACCCUAAAUUUAUAUGAGCAAUAGCCGUCAAUUAAUUUAAGAAAUAUCUCAAAAAUAGAAAAAUUGCCAAAAAUCACGAAAAUUGAAAUCAUUGUUCUUGCUUUCCCGGGCAACACACCAAAAAUGAGGCAGUGAGUGUGGAAUAUGAGCCAAACCCCCGAGAGAUUCCAAAUCUUCUUUUUCGUCGAUUUCAAGGCAACACUUACAUGAUCCUUUCAAUUUAUGCACAUGUAACAAGAAGUUGUUAAAUAUUGAACAUAUACUAAAUCACUAUUUAUAAAAAAAUGAUAUUAGCAGUUGUAACUGUGGCCAGUUCGUUUUAAAAAGGUCUCAACUUUUAAUUAUCUCAUAAUAAUUCUAACUUUAUUUGGGAGUUCUCUUCUCAUAACAAACCUUCAACUUAAGGAAUUUGCUAAAUCAAUUAAAUUAAACACAUGAACUCAUCCAUCAACACUUUUUUAGAUAAACUAAAGUCAAUGAAAGAGUUUGUUCAUCAUAAUUAAUCGAUUUAGUAAUUAGUUAAUUAAGUCAGAGACCAUUUUGGGAAGGGCACCUUUAAAGUCGGGACCACUGUUACAUGUAUAAUAAACAAAAAUUAAGACCUUUUAAAGUGAACCGACCAAGGCUAAGAUCAAUAAUGUCAAUUAUUCCUACUAAUUAAUAUUGACAAGUAUAAUGCAUUUUAACAUAAAAUGACAAAACCUAAAAGACAGUGGUGCUAAUUAUUAAACUUAUUUUAAUACUUACUCCAUAACAAAAUAGAUGAUAAAUUUUAAAAAUUGCACUAUUCACCUACUACAUUUAGUAGUUAUUAUAUGAUAUUUUGUUAGAUUCGUAUCAAUAUACUUAAUAUUAACUUCUUAUAAUUUUCAGUGAUACACAAUUAAAGUUAUUAAUGUCAAAGUACAAUAUUGACAAGCAUGAAAGUCAAAGUGUAACAUGUAUUUUAUUACGUAUGAAGUAUAUAUGGAAUUAGAAAGUUUUGUUACUUGGUUAUAUAGAUAUAUUAUUAUUAGAAAGUUUCGAAUCAAACAAGGUCUCAUAUGAUUAUAUAUUUUCUUACCCAUUAAUCACAAAUGAUAGGUAGACAUCUAUACUAUAUAUUAAAAGGCGUACCUAUCAAAGGAACGGUGACAUGUGAUACUAUUCACUAUAUAUGCGCCACAUAGCUUCGCCACGUCAUCUUAUAUGCCAUGUAGAUCGUUACAUAACGUUACAAAAUAAAUAUUGCUUUUACUAGAUUUGAACAUGCGACCUCUUGCAAAGAGAAGAUUGUCCUUACCAUCUCAACCAACUUUUUUUAGUGCUUCAUAAAUCCACAUAAUGUUAUUUAUUCAUUGCAAACAUAAAGUAAAUUAAAUGUUAGAUUCUUUUUUAAAUUAAUUUUUACAAAAAUGUUAAAAAUACAUAUCAAUUGUGAAGAAUAAAAAAAUAACACCGGAGCAACGCCCAGGUCAAAUCACUAGUAUAUAUAUAUAAAUAGUGUCGAAACUCAAAGGAUAACCAUGUGGUUUAUUGACUAUGGUUACAGCUAUAUUUUGGGAACAAAGCCCAAGUAUACAGAGCCAUAAAAUGGGUAACUCCCCAACCAAACUACUCAAAAACGGAGGCCCGGUGAUGAUGCCAAGAGAAGAAAUAAAAAAUCAAGAAUAAAACCUAUGUAAUACUACUUCUUGUUAAUCAGAGAAUUCAGAAGUAGUUGAACAUAAGAACGCAGUGCAUAGAUCAACAUUAUGUUUUAUCGAGGAAGGUUGCCGUCGCUUCCUUUAGUUGUUGGUGCUGUCCUGAUUGGCGUCAUCUCUGGUAAGGCAUUAUUUGGACCCCCAUUGGAGGAGUAUUGGAAGAAAAGGCUUGAGGAGGAAGCAGCGACCAAAGAGAGUGAUGCAAAACCGCAAUAGCAAAUGCUAGCCAAAGGCUUGAGGAGGAAGCAGCGGCCAAAGAGAGUGAUGCGAAAUCGCAAUAGCCAAUGGUAGCCAAUAUCUUUUGUUUUAUCAGUUCUGCAGUGGGACAAUGGCAGCGUUUUGCUGAUUGUUGUAGGUUAAGGUUUUAAUAAUUCAACCUUCCCCUGAUUCAUGAAUUUUUGUGUGGUGUUCAUUCCGUAGCACAAGUUCAAUUAGUUUAGUAUCACAGUAUCAGCAUUGUCAGUGGUGGAAUAUUGGCCUUUCUAGUUUGCGCCAAUAUGUAAUUGUUGUUACAGAAAAAAAAAGAGAUUCGACAGUGUUUCUUGUUUA
Molecule: long non-coding RNA, 6748 nt
Organism: Beta vulgaris subsp. vulgaris (sugar beet)
Lineage: Eukaryota; Viridiplantae; Streptophyta; Magnoliopsida; Caryophyllales; Amaranthaceae
Exons: 6
Source: RefSeq, a predicted model, not a curated record